GAGUUUGAUCAUGGCUCAGAACGAACGCUGGCGGCGUGGAUAAGGCAUGCAAGUCGAACGCGAAAGCCGACCUUCGGGUUGGUCCGGUAGAGUGGCAAACGGGUGAGUAACACGUGGGCAACCUACCUCGAAGUGGGGGAUAACCCGUGGAAACACGGGCUAAUACCGCAUGUUUUUGUGGGAUCGCAUGAUUCUACAAAAAAGAUGGGGAUUCUUCGGAACCUGUCGCUUUGAGAUGGGCCCGCGCCUGAUUAGCUAGUUGGUGAGGUAACGGCUCACCAAGGCUUCGAUCAGUAGCUGGUCUGAGACGGAUGGUCAGCCACACUGGGAUUGAGAUACGGCCCAGACUCCUACGGGAGGCAGCAGUCUAGAAGCUUCGGCAAUGGGCAAAAGCCUGACCGAGCGACGCCGCGUGCAUGAUGAAGGCCCUCGGGUCGUAAAGUGCUUUCGGCAGGGAUGAAACCGUCGGGGUAAAUAGCCCCGGAUGACUGACAGUACCUGCGGAAGAAG
Molecule: ribosomal RNA, 510 nt
Filed under: uncultured Lentisphaera sp.
Lineage: Bacteria; Pseudomonadati; Lentisphaerota; Lentisphaeria; Lentisphaerales; Lentisphaeraceae
Description: bacterial SSU rRNA
Rfam family: Bacterial small subunit ribosomal RNA
Source: RNAcentral